Non-coding RNA from Salmo salar (Atlantic salmon), 92 nucleotides. Lineage: Eukaryota; Metazoa; Chordata; Actinopteri; Salmoniformes; Salmonidae. The record is from Rfam.
CUCCCUGUGGCUCAGUUGGUAGAGCAUGGUGUUUGCAACGCCAGCAGGGUGUGUGCAACGCCAGGGUUGUGGGUUCGAUUCCCACGGGGGGC